CCUACGGGGGGCAGCAGUGAGGAAUAUUGGUCAAUGGGCGCGAGUCUGAACCAGCCAAGUAGCGUGAAGGAUGACUGCCCUACGGGUUGUAAACUUCUUUUAUAAGGGAAUAAAAUGAUGCACGUGUGCCUUUUUGUAUGUACUUUAUGAAUAAGGAUCGGCUAACUCCGUGCCAGCAGCCGCGGUAAUCCGGAGGAACCGAGCGUUAUACGGAUUUAUUGGGUUGAAAGGGUGCGUAGAUGGGUUGUUAAGUCAGUGGUGAAAGUUUGCGGCUCAACCGUAAAAUUGCAAUUUAAACUGGCAGUCUUGAAGACAGUAGAGGUGGGCGGACUUGGUGGUGUAGCGGUAAAAUGC
This 354-nucleotide ribosomal RNA is filed under the name uncultured bacterium. RNAcentral describes it as "partial 16S ribosomal RNA". It matches the Rfam family "Bacterial small subunit ribosomal RNA", at positions 338 to 689 of the family's 1533-position model. The record is from RNAcentral.